UUGAACGGCUCGCCACCGCGCCAUGGCCCUGAGCGCUACGUGCAUCUUUCCAACAGCUCCAGGGAUGGGGACUUCGCCGCCUCCUUGGGCAGCCCGUUCCGAUGUCUAAUCACCGUUUCCAUGAAAAAAACCCACCUUAUGUCCAAACUAAACCUUCCCUGGCACAGCUUAAGACCGUGUCCUCUCGUCCUGUCCCUUGUUCCCCGGGAGCAGAGCCUGACCCCCACCUGGCUGCAACCCUCCUAUCAGGGAGGUGUGGUGAGCAGUAAGGUCAUCACACACUGAAAUCUGAGGGGUGUAUGACCCAGGGUACUUCUGAAGCUGUUGGCGGACAACAUUUGCAAGCAGAAGAGUAAAAGAAAUGGAUGUCCCUGGAAAUACCAGUCAUGUAGCCUUCCUCUGAGACAGAGUUGUAUUCAACUAUUAAAAAAUAUAAGAUUAUUAAAAGUAAUAUUGGUAUA
This is a long non-coding RNA of Vidua chalybeata, 461 nucleotides long. RefSeq lists it as uncharacterized. NCBI's taxonomy places the organism in Eukaryota, Metazoa, Chordata, Aves, Passeriformes, Viduidae. The transcript has 2 exons. The record is from RefSeq and is a predicted model, not a curated record.